ACGGAAGGCAGCAGUGAGGAAUAUUGGUCAAUGGGCGGAAGCCUGAACCAGCCAAGUCGUGUGAAGGAUGAAGGUAUUAUGUAUUGUAAACUUCUUUAGCAGCAGAGUAAUAAGGGGGUCGUGACCCCCGAUGCAAGUAUGCUGAAAAUAAGGAUCGGCUAACUCCGUGCCAGCAGCCGCGGUAAUACGGAGGAUCCGAGCGUUAUCCGGAUUUAUUGGGUUUAAAGGGUGCGCAGGCGGUUUUUUAAGUCAGUGGUUAAAUCGUGAGGCUCAACCUCAUCACGCCAUUGAUACUGGAAGACUUGAUUGCGGUUGAGGUUGGCGGAAUUCGUCGUGUAGCGGUGAAAUGCAUAGAUAUGACGAAGAACACCGAUUGCGUAGGCAGCUGACCAAGCCGUAAAUGACGCUCAUGCACGAAAGUGCGGGGAUCGAACAGGAUUAGAUACCCUGGUA
RNAcentral lists this ribosomal RNA (453 nucleotides) under uncultured Porphyromonadaceae bacterium. RNAcentral describes it as "partial 16S ribosomal RNA". It matches the Rfam family "Bacterial small subunit ribosomal RNA", at positions 341 to 792 of the family's 1533-position model. The record is from RNAcentral. Lineage: Bacteria; Pseudomonadati; Bacteroidota; Bacteroidia; Bacteroidales; Porphyromonadaceae.